Molecule: ribosomal RNA, 253 nt
Filed under: uncultured bacterium
Lineage: Bacteria
Description: partial 16S ribosomal RNA
Rfam family: Bacterial small subunit ribosomal RNA
Source: RNAcentral
UACAGAGGGGGCAAGCGUUGUUCGGAAUUACUGGGCGUAAAGGGCGCGUAGGCGGCCAACUAAGUCAGACGUGAAAUUCCUCAGCUUAACUGGGGAACUGCGUCUGAUACUGGAUGGCUUGGAUUCGGGAGAGGAAUGCGGAAUUCCAGGUGUAGCGGUGAAAUGCGUAGAUAUCUGGAGGAACACCGGUGGCGAAGGCGGCAUUCUGGACCGAUAUUGACGCUGAGGAGCGAAAGCCAGGGGAGCAAACGGG